UAGCGUUAAUUUAGGAUGGAAAAUCAGCAAAUAUUCCGUUUGGUAUAUAUUAUGUAACAAAAACAUGGGAUAUGAGGGUAAUAAACAAACAAUGCAAAUAAUGGUAGUAAGGUUUGCUAUAUGGGAUGUAUAGGUAAAAAUCCCUUGUAAAAAUCCCUAAAAACAAAUCUAGGAAAGGGAGCAAAAGGGCCUGAAGCACACAAAGCCUGGUCUGGACCAAGCAGCCUCAUUUGGGCCAUUAAUAGGCCUAGUCGCUUCUAAAGAAGGUCAUUCAACAUGUAACUCAUGAGGCUUAUUCCACAUAUAAACGGUCAUCUUCACAAAUUCUAAAAAAUCACAAAUGUUGAACAAUUUAUUCUACAGCCUUCCCAAUUUAUUGAUAUGUCAUGAGUGAUACAAUAUUAAUCCUAGACUGUUUACUGAGGCGUUAAGAUCAAUCAUAUAAGCAUUUCGACCAUAAUUACAAUUCUAAAAAAAAUCAUGAUUUGAUAAUUGAACAUUGAACAAACUUUUGAAAAUGCCUGAACGUAGACUUCAAAAUUUAAGAAAAGAGAGAAAGAUCAUGAUCUACACGCUAUUAACCAUGACCCUCACAGCAAACAAUCCAAGAAAUGGGCUAGUGAUAUUAUAGUCAUUUCGUGAAUUUCCAAGUGAAUCCAACACUGGACUGAAAAUCAACACAGAACUAAAUUCUAACAUGACUAACAAAGAUGUUCAUCUCGUGAUUUUAACCAAUACAUACAGAAAACUCAAGUAUUCAGAAAUGUGCCUUAAAUUAAUGAGAGAAAUAAGAUACAUAAACAGUGAGAUGCAUACUUAAACCAUACUUAAAGAAGAGAUACAAAAAAAAAAAAGAGAAACAGCAUGUAGAAGAGAGCUAAAACUAAUGAAGAGGGUGGAUGAACUUGAAAGAAAUAUGGCAUGAUUCAAUGGAAGUGCCUACUGCAUAUUAACACAAUAAAAUGCUCAAUUCUUGAGCUCAUUCAUACAUUAUCUUAAUCUUAAACAUACCAUUAAUAUGACAUUGUUGGACUCAAGGUGACUCAAUUGAUAAUACAUAUACAUAUAAUAUGCAAUCAACAAUUUCCCACCAUAGUCCUAAUAAAUUACAACUGACAUAUUGGUACUGAUUUAAACCUCGAAUCCUUUAACUUCAUGAAACAUACUAGAGAAUAGAACACCUAGUCUAAACUGAAGUAAAUAAUUACAUAACCAAAUAAAUAACAACUAUCAAAUGAAAAAGAAGAUAUGAAGGUCCAUCUCAAGUCACAUAUAUCAAAAACUUCAAUUUGUCAUUUUAGGGCUCAAUGAAGAUACCUGGAUAUCGCAAUAAAAGAAAAGAAAAUUCUGUAGCCUACAAAAUGAACAAUAACAAGAUAUCAGCAGCAGGAACAAUAGUGAUAAUCGGAACAAAAAAACUUCAAAUAACCAGCUAUUUUCAGUCUGGAAAACCUAAAAUCCUCAUGAAAACCAUUUAAGUUCUAAGCGAAAAAUCAGAAAGUAAUUCGAGCCCCCUUUUUCCAGUGUUUUUCAGUUUUGAAGAUCUAUAUCAGUGUCUGUUUU
This 1563-nucleotide long non-coding RNA is filed under the name Nicotiana benthamiana. Its description in RNAcentral is "long non-coding RNA (NBEN_LNC003166)". The record is from RNAcentral. Lineage: Eukaryota; Viridiplantae; Streptophyta; Magnoliopsida; Solanales; Solanaceae.